Molecule: ribosomal RNA, 335 nt
Filed under: uncultured bacterium
Lineage: Bacteria
Description: bacterial SSU rRNA
Rfam family: Bacterial small subunit ribosomal RNA
Source: RNAcentral
ACUCCUACGGGAGGCAGCAGUGAGGAAUAUUGCGCAAUGGGCGAAAGCCUGACGCAGCAACGCCGCGUGGGGGAUGAAGGUCUUCGGAUUGUAAACCCCUUUCGGGAGGGAAGAUGGGACGGGCAAUCGUUCGGACGGUACCUCCAGAAGCAGCCACGGCUAACUUCGUGCCAGCAGCCGCGGUAAUACGAAGGUGGCAAGCGUUGUUCGGAUUUACUGGACGUAAAGGGAGCGUAGGCGGUUUGGUAAGCCCUCCGGGAAAUCUUCGGGCUUAACCCGGAAAGGUCGGAGGGGACUGCCUGGCUAGAGGACGGGAGAGGAGCGCGGAAUUCCCG